RNAcentral lists this transfer RNA (71 nucleotides) under Loxodonta africana (African savanna elephant). It matches the Rfam family "tRNA". From Rfam's summary of the family: Transfer RNA (tRNA) molecules are approximately 80 nucleotides in length. The record is from Rfam by way of RNAcentral. Lineage: Eukaryota; Metazoa; Chordata; Mammalia; Proboscidea; Elephantidae.
GCAAUGGUGGUUCGGUGGUAGAAUUCUCACCUUCCACAAGGGAGAUGAGGGUUCGAUUCCCUGCCAAUUCA